UACAGAGGUCCCAAGCGUUGUUCGGAUUCAUUGGGCGUAAAGGGUGCGUAGGCGGCGCGGUAAGUCGGGUGUGAAAUCCCGAGGCUCAACCUCGGAACUGCCUUUGAUACUAUUGGUCUUGAAUGUUGUUGAGGUGGGCGGAACGGGUCAUGUAGCGGUGAAAUGCAUAGAUAUGACCCGGAACACCGAUUGCGAAGGCAGCCCGCUAAGCAACUAUUGACGCUGAGGCACGAAAGCGUGGGGAUCAAACAGG
RNAcentral lists this ribosomal RNA (253 nucleotides) under uncultured bacterium. RNAcentral describes it as "partial 16S ribosomal RNA". It matches the Rfam family "Bacterial small subunit ribosomal RNA", at positions 524 to 776 of the family's 1533-position model. The record is from RNAcentral.